GAAAGCCCUUCGGGGUGAGUAUAGCGGCGGACGGGUGAGUAACGCGUAGGAAUCUACCUGGUAGUGGGGGACAACAUGUGGAAACGCAUGCUAAUACCGCAUACGCCCUACGGGGGAAAGCGGGGGACCUUCGGGCCUCGUGCUAUCAGAUGAGCCUGCGUAAGAUUAGCUAGUUGGUGGGGUAAAGGCUCACCAAGGCGACGAUCUUUAGCUGGUCUGAGAGGAUGAUCAGCCACACUGGGACUGAGACACGGCCCAGACUCCUACGGGAGGCAGCAGUGGGGAAUAUUGCGCAAUGGGCGAAAGCCUGACGCAGCCAUGCCGCGUGUGUGAAGAAGGCCUUAGGGUUGUAAAGCACUUUCAAUUGGGAGGAAAGGUUAUGCGUUAAUAGCGUAUAACUGUGACGUUACCUUUAGAAGAAGCACCGGCUAACUCCGUGCCAGCAGCCGCGGUAAUACGGAGGGUGCGAGCGUUAAUCGGAAUUACUGGGCGUAAAGCGCGCGUAGGCGGUUUAUUAAGUCGGAUGUGAAAGCCCCGGGCUCAACCUGGGAACUGCAUCCGAUACUGGUCGACUAGAGUACGAGAGAGGGAGGUAGAAUUCCACGUGUAGCGGUGAAAUGCGUAGAUAUGUGGAGGAAUACCGGUGGCGA
This 650-nucleotide ribosomal RNA is filed under the name Parahalioglobus pacificus. Its description in RNAcentral is "bacterial SSU rRNA". It matches the Rfam family "Bacterial small subunit ribosomal RNA", at positions 70 to 718 of the family's 1533-position model. The record is from RNAcentral. Lineage: Bacteria; Pseudomonadati; Pseudomonadota; Gammaproteobacteria; Cellvibrionales; Halieaceae.